Molecule: long non-coding RNA, 28981 nt
Organism: Cavia porcellus (domestic guinea pig)
Lineage: Eukaryota; Metazoa; Chordata; Mammalia; Rodentia; Caviidae
Exons: 2
Source: RefSeq, a predicted model, not a curated record
CAAACUUUACUCACACGCUUCGAGAGGCUACCCAGCCAGCAACUCCAAACCCCUAGUCUGUACAGUCUGGGUGUCCGGAAGCUGCCGGUAUUACGGAAAGAAAACGGCAGUUCUCCCCGCGCCUGGAGGUGGAGGCUGGGCAGUGGUAGGCGCUGAGUUUGACGUCACCGAUGGUGGGCGGAGCCCAGCGCGGAUAUGCGCGACUUCCGGAACAGGGGAGUGCCCGGUUGCCGGGAGGAAAGGGAGACGCGGCACGUGACCCCUGACGCAAGCCAGCCGGCGGCGUGCAGCGGGGGUGGGGAGGUGGCUCGCCCUGGGCGGCCUUAGCGCUGUAAAUUGGAAAAUGGGCUCUUGGCUAGUGCUGGAAUCUGAGCACAGUGUGAGAAGUUCUGACACUUCUCUAUACGUUUCUCAGGGGCCAUGCUGAGGAUUAUGAGUCACAGUGCCGGUAUUCGGGUCUGUCUCAGCCCUUCCAACUGUCCAGCGUCGGGGAUUCCUGAGAUUACUCCCUACGGCAGCAGCGGGCGGAGUCGCAGGCAAACCCGGAAGGCGUGUGCGCGUGCGCGGGCCGGACAGGGGCGGGGCCGCCGCGCCUCCCAGCGUCUGCGCAGCGCGCCCCGUGGGGAAGGAGUGAGGCCGGCGCCACCUCUUGGGGAUAGAGCGGAAGGCGGGUGGCGGAGCGUCUGAGAAGUUCCCCGGGUUAGGGUCCCCAGCCCUAGUGAGAUUUGGAGGCACACUUUGGAAAAAGCCGGCGAGGUGGUCCCGCUGAGGACGGGGAUUUUCGAAAUCCCUUGUCCCUUAGCUUCGCAGGACCUGCCGAGGGACUGACUGGCUCCCUGGGGAAGGGUGGUGAAGUCAGAAAGGGCGAAGUGGUUUCAGUAAUAACCGAGGCUUGUUUUAGGGAGGAUGCCGCUUCAGAACCCGGACUCGAGUUUCGGAGCAGUGUCGUUCUCUCGUGAACUCAGGGAAAGUCACUGCGUGGGUGCUGUCAGCCCUAAGGACGAGGCGCUUCGUUCUUGCUGCUUUGGGGCACUCUGGCGCCCUGCUCCUCUCCCGGGUUGUGGUGACACGAGGCCACGCUUGGGGUCCCGUCCGGCAGGGUCUCUUUGUAGUCCAGGCUGGCCUUGAACUCAUUAUGUAGCCCAGGCUGUCCUCAAACUCAUGGCAGUCUUCCUGUCUCAGCCUUUAGGAUGCUGGAAUUACAGGCAUGUGCCACCACACUGGCUAAUUCUGCUUUUUAAUGUUAUAUUUAAAUUUGCAUUUUCAUAGUAGAUGAAAGAUGAUAAGAAUACUAUUAAAAUGAGCAAAGACAUUAAUAUGUUAUCUCUGUUACACUAAUAAAAAAGCAAAUUCCAACGGUGACAAAAUUUGCCUCUUAUCAAACCAACAUCUUUAUUAUUAAUUAAUUAAAUGAUUUUUGACUGUUUAGUAUGGUGGGUAAAUUAGAUUAUUUCUUUUGACAGUUAUGUCUCCUCCUAAAAUAACAAAAUUGAUUUACAAAGGACAGAAUGAAAUUACAUUUUAUGAAAUUAUAAAGUCUGAGCUAUGAUUCAAAGUGUAGGAGGAGGUACUGGCAUUAUGAAGCUCUUAAGUACCUAGUACUACUAAACUGUACGUUCCAAAAGUGGCUUGUCACUAUAGCAACCACCAUGCUGAUUUGGAUUUGAAACCCAGGCAACAAGUGGUGGAUAGGAAUGUCAAGGUAAAUAUGUGUUUUGUGUUUCAGUUUGCCUGACAGUUGAUAGUCAAUAGUUUGUUCUGUUUUUCUUGGUAUACUUAUGAUGCUUUUUACUAUAGUUACAUUUUUGUUAAUGCAUUUAAAAUUCUUAUUAAUGUCUUUUUCUGGAGGAGAAGUUAGCAUUCAGUAUUCUCAUUCCUCUUUUUAAAACAUGCUAAGUUUAGUGCUUUUUCCAGUUAGGUAAUUGGGAUAUUAAAUAUAUCUUCUCCAUAGUUUCCUCUGCAUUAUUGCUUAAGUUGGGCAACUUGUUUUGGGCUAAAUAUAACCUUUAUUAAACUGAAUCACUUGCAAAAGUUUUAUAACAAAAAAAUGACAGAUUUUAUUUUAGCUGCAUCCUGAAAUGAUGCUUAGGGCUACCAGUAGACAUGAGAUCUGCUUAAAUUCAAACAUUUCUAAAAAAAAGUUUUUUGUUUUCUUUUUUUCCUAAGGAAGUCCUAGGUUUCAGCUGCUGUUGGCAGGUAGAGAUGACAUAGCUCCUUUCCAGUUAUCUCUCAGCGUGGCUCCAUAAAUUUACCUAGAGGCACAGGGGACUCCUGGGAGGACACAUCUGGGAAACGGAGUCCUUGCUUGCCAUCCUUGUUGAUGGAUUGGAGCGGUUCCUGGUAGGAUGGUAUUACAGGAAAAAGAAGUCAGGAUUGCAGGGAACUUGUCUUUAGGUAGGCGAGGUCUGCAUGGGUAACUGCAAGACAGUGGAUCAGGGCAUCGAUGUUUUGAUCCUGGUGCAGCAGGUUGCUGUUGUGUACACCGGAGUGUACCCUAAUGCCUGCUCACAACUUGGUUUGUAAAUAGGAAGGGCCACAGCGGUUGCCCAAAGCCGGUCAGACAGAGAAAUGGGAGAGCUGGGUCCUGUGUGAUGUGAUAGAGAGUGAGGGCGACUGUGGUUUCCCAGAGGAUGACGCUUUCCUUGAGUGGGAAAAUAAAUUUUUUCCCCACAUUUCCUAAUUCUUUAAGAGAAGCAAAAAUCUUGAUUUUUUUUAAAUAAAAAGGUAAACACUCUUUUUGUUGCCAGUUCAUUUUUUAAAAUUUUAUUUUGAAAGUAUACAACAGAACAAGACAGAAUAAAGCCAACUAAGAUCGUACAGUGAAAUUGGUACAGAAAUUCACAGCAGGUUACCAGGAAAACAGUAAUAGAUAUCACAGUAUGUUUUGUUAUCUUUAUAAUAGUUGUUCUUCCAAUCACAUAUAUCAAAAUGAGAUGAAAUAUAGAACACUAUAGAACUUAGCAAAACAAUAUUGAAUAGAGCAGUACCAUUAAUCAGAAAAGAGCAAAACAGUAAUAAAAAUAUUUGCCUUCAAAGAGAUGGUAGAAGGAAGUCCCCUUAUUUGCUAUGGUCAACCUCCAAGGAGACGCUCAGAUUUCUGGUUCCCGUUUGAUAAUGGGGGGAGAGAAGAAGGAGGGUAGGGGAAGUGGGAUAUUUGACUCUAGGCCGUGUAUCAGUAGGUUCACUAUUGCUUAGCAGGGAGGCGGGCUGGUUGUUUGGUUUCACAGCAUCCUAAGUUCCAACAUGGUGUGGAUCUCAGGAGUGCUGCUGGUUCUCCCACUGAAGGGCCGCAGUCUGCUAGACCACCACUUAUUGCCAGGGAGGAGAGGUGCUUGCUUUGCUUCCCAGGGUAGUUCAUUCAUUUUGAAAAUACUCUAUGGGCAUAACACAGCGAGAUUUAUUUAGACUUCAGGGCAGAAGAUUAAAAAUUCCUGGCCAGGCAUGGAGGUACAUGUAUAUAAUCCAAACACUCUGAAAGCUGAGGCAAGAGGGUUGCUGUGAGUUCAAGGCCAGUUUGGGGUACAUAAGCCAUUUUAAGGCUAGCCUGUACUACAUGGCGAGACCCUGUCUCAAAAACACAGCAACAAUAACAAAAACACACAAAAAAACCCAACAACCAACAAAACCCAGAACAAGCAAACAGACCCCCCUCCAAGAAAAAGAUCAUGAAUUUAAAAAGUUUUUUUGGACAGAGUCUCACUAUGUAGUGCAAGUUGCCCUUGAACUCACCAUGUAGCCCAGGCUGGCUUUGAACUCACAGUGAUCCUCCUGCCUCAGCCUUGUAAGUGCUGAGAUUACAGGUGUGCACCACCACACACAGCAUAGAUUCCUUAGUGGAAUUCUCAAGCUUUGUGCCAGGACUGCUUUUUGUUCCUCUUUACAGGCCCACUAGCUUAUCCUGCCAUUUUCAGUUCAUAUCAGGGCUAUUUUUCAUCCAUUCCUUUCAGAGUUAAGGAGAAAAAAAAAAGUUUUACUUGAAUUCCUAUUUUGUAGCAUUACUGAUUUUUUCUCUUUUUUUGCCUUUUAUUCAAGAGGAUAGAUAUCUGUAAAUGUCAUUUUGUUGCUAGUCAUACAUUAAAAACCCAAUAUUGGUAUCUUUUUUUUGGUACCAGAAAUCAAACUCGGUGUCUCGGUGUUUGCCAGGCAGGUGCUUGUGCCCUGGCUCAGUCUUGCAGUUGAUUCAUGCAAUGAGAUUCCCUGACUUCUAGUUGGAAUUCAGUAAUUGGCUAAUUUUAAUUACCUUGGCUGGAGUUAUACAACUUACAUUAUAGACAGUAUACCACAGUGGUCUCAUAAGACUAAUACUGGAGAGACACAGCCUCCAAGUAAUCAUUAGGAUUGGGUUCCUUUUGUUGCUUAAUUUAAUAUAAGCUGUGAAGUGAUUUUCUGUUUUUCCAGAUUGAAUUGGGAGGUUUAAGGACAUCAUAUGCAUGUAUCAAAUCAUAUGAGAAGCUCUUACUAGAAUCUUCUUAAGGUAACAUGGUCUCUUAUUUUUCUCAAGCAGUGUUUUGGCUUCUAUCUUGAUGUCCCCCCCAAUCAUGGGUUGGGCUCUUUGGGCUUUCUCUUGUGUGAUCCCCACGCUUCCAGUGUGCCACAUGGCACAAAGGAAGGUUUAUUUCUGGGCCUAGAAAGCCAUAGUAUAAAGUUAAUUUUAUUGGUGAUGUUUUUCCUUUCCUCCUUUCCUUCUUUUCAAAGGGAGAAUUAUAAUUAAGAAAGCUAUUAGUUGCUAUAACAAAUAAGUCUGAAAAUUUCAAUGACCUAAUAAAACUUUUUUUUUUUACUCCUUUGAUAGUCCAAUUAAGGUAUUCUCAGCAAGCGGUUUUCCCUUGGCGUGGUGGAUUUAGUGGUUCAAGUUUUUUCUGUCUGCUAGUUCUGUUUGCCUUUAAGCUGCCCUGUGAUUUUCUGUCUUCUAAUGGGAGGAGGAGAAGGGAAGGGAGAAAGACAUUUUUAAUUGCUUUGGCAAGGAAGUGAUACAUCACUGCUAUGUACACUGCACUGGCUAAAACUAGACACAUGGUCCUGUCUGAGAAGCGAAGGUUCUGACUAGGCACUUACUUUUUAGGAACAAAUCUGUGCUAUGGAAGGGUUGAAUUUUGCUUGACAGUUGCCCAUCUUUGCCACAAAGGAGGGUUCUCCUCUUGUUAUUAUUUUUGGUAACCAGUCAGUACUGGGCUCUGCAUAUUGCUGUGGGUGAAGAUGGAAGAAGGGAGAAUAUUUGAUAGGUGCAGUCUUUAGGUAUUCAAAUAUUUAAUGAGCUCUGUUCUUAGCUCUCUUUUCCUUGUUUUCUUUAGGGAUAGUUCUUCAGAUGUCUCCUAGCCUAGAAUCUCUCUAAAGCAGUGGUAGCAAACCUAUGACCCAAAUGUUGUUUUUCUUUUUAGACAAAAGAUGGUCAUGUAUGAGUUUUCUUUUUUCUAAAAUAAAACCUCGGUAUUCAGCUUUAGUUGCAGUGCUAGCAUUUAGCGAUAAAUGAGUGGGUUUUGGUUCCAGUUCAGGCUCUCCUCUCUAAAAGGUUCGCCAUCACUGUUUUAGGGUCUAGUGGGCAGGUCAGCUUUCGUCCCAGGCACAACUUCUUCCUAUGGUUAUAUUCUGCUUCUGUAGUCAGUAUGUCCCUGCCUAGUUUUUGCCUUUAAGAAAGUUUUGAGGUCUUUUGAUAGCCAGUGAUGAUCUUUUUCUCCUUACCCCUCACCCUUUUGCAGAAUUUCUCUUUUUUCAUUUUUUACUAGUAAAUGUUUGCAGUACAUAAUGACUGCAUUUUUUGUAGAGAAUUAUACAUGUAUAUAACGUAUCUUAAUUCUUUCUUUAUCCCCUUUCCUUUCCAUCGUGCUCUGCUCCCUCCAAAUCUUGGUCCCCUUCGCAUUUGCAAAUGCUCUAUUUCCAUUUUUUUUUUUUCAGUUGUCUUUUUCAUCCCUUUUACCUUCCCUUCCUCAACUCCAUCUCUUUUUCUACUUCCCAUUUAAAAAAAGAUUUCCUUGCUUCUUGUUAUCUAUCUUUUGUUUUGCUCUUUAUUUAUAUUUUGGAUUUCUUAUAAGAGAAGCUAUGUGAUAAGUGUUCUUUUUCCCUGCGGUCGUGCCAUCAUUAGUGAUUAUUUGGUUGCUUCAUGAUAGCCAUCUUUUGUAGAAUAAUAUCUCACUGUUGUUUUAAUUUUCAUUCCUUUAAUGGCCAGCAAUGUUGAACAUUUUAAAAUAUCUUUGGCCAUCUGUACUUCUUCUGCAAAGUGUUUAUUUCAUUUGCCCAUUUUCUGGUUGGGUCUUUUAUUUGAGAGGGGCAGCUUAAUUUUUUGAGUUCUUUAUAUAUUAUAGAUCUUAGUUUUCUGAAGAAUAAUUCACAAUUUUCCCCCAUUCUGUAAUUUGUCUCUCUACUCUGUGAGUUACUUCCUUUGUUAUGUAGAAUCUUUUUAAUUUGAUCUGAUCCCAUUUGUUGAUUCUCAGUAUUAAUUCUGUGCCACUGGAGUUCUGUUCAGAUAAUCAUCUAUUUCCUAGCUGAGUUCUUUUCGUUAUUAUAUAGAUAAAGUAUCUAUAUAUUUUUUUAAAUUUUAAGCUUCAGGGGGCUAGGUGAAGUGAAUAUAAAAUAUCUUUGAGUAGUACCUCUAGAAGAAUUUUAAUUUUUAAAAACAUGUGCUGUUUGAACAAGAUGAAUUUUCUCUCCGUAGGCGGAGCAGUUCUCUGCAGGAAAUGUAAAAAUGUUUGACAUAUAAUCCCUGAAACUCAAGAAUUCAUACUCUUUGCAGUUUUAAUGGCACGACUGUCUUACCUUAUUCUGUCAUGGUAUUUCUUUAGUUAAAAACUUUGGGUGAUUCUUCCUCGGAUUAUGCUUUCCUGUUUAAAUUUGUCCUUGCUUUCCACACCCUACCCGCAUUUGUUCCUUACUGUGUUAUCAACAAGUCAUGUUUGUUCUGGCUUCAGUGCUUCUGUACAUGUUAUCUGUAUAGUUCCAAGUUUACUAUGCUUUUCAGACCUGAGUCCUGUUAGGGUUUUCUGGCACAAUAGAGAAGCAAAAGGAAAGAAAAAAAUGGCCUUUAUUGAGGACGUGGAGAGGAGCGCAGGAAACAAACAUGGAGGGAGGUUUUAUGACCUCUGACUGGAAGCAGCUCUUGGGGCAGGCACUGAUGACGGCCAAGGAACUGACUGGAAUUUUCUCUGCAGGUACAGGAUAGGAAACAGGAAGUGGUAAUCAGGGCUGAAGGGGAAGGAGAAAGUGGUCAUCAUUUUGGGCUUCUGCCAUGUUAGACCACCGCCGUAAUGUCCAGUAAUUUAUACUAGAGCAACCUUUCAAGUUCUAUUUAAAAAUAAAUACUGAAUUUGAAUUUCACUUUUUUUUUCAAGUGGGCUGUCUUGACUACUCUAGAUUUCAUUUUUCCUGUGAUCAUCAGCAAAGCUUACUUACCUGUAUUAUUUAUUGUCGUUUCACAUUUGUUGGUAUGCCUUCCCACACAGCAUAGAUUUCCUGAAGGAAAUACUAUAUACCUAUUUGAUUUCCCUACAGUAUCUGGAAUAGUGGGGAGUUUAUGCUGAGUGCAUACUGAUUACCCUUUGACUGAAGCAAGCCCUGAUGUACUUACUCCUUGAAAGGCUGGUCACUUUGAGCUCAAGGCCAGCCUGCACUACAUAGAGAGAACCUGCCUCAAAAACAAAACAAAACAAAACAAAACAAACUUCAAAAUAAAGAGAGCUGUACUUGAAAGGGGGAUAGUGUUUGGGUGUCUGCAGAGCACUGGGUCCUUUGGGGAAGGAAGGACUAAGUUUUGGACUACAAAAGGAGGAGAAAUAUGUUACUGUGUUCUAUAGUAACCAGGAAAAAUAUGUCCAGUCAAAUUAAUGAUAACUUACCUGGUACCAGAUAACGUGAGCGUUUCUUGCUUACUUUGUUACCACUUGAGCUAUGGCACAAUGAAGACUUCAUAUCCUGUUUAUAGUUCAUUUUCUUUAGGACUACUAGUAGUAAAUAUAUUUAAAAAAUUAAUGUUUGAAUUGGAAGCAUUUAAAAAUUAGCCCUUAAAAUUAGAUAGCUGGUUCACUAAUAUAUCUUUCCUGAAUUUAUUCUACAUUUACUGUGCAAUCAAAUUAAGAUAAAAUAUAAAUCAAGGAAGAAUAAUUGACAAAAUUAUUUAAAUGAAAAAAAUCUGUUAUCCUGUUUUCCUUUGUUAAUAUCAGUCUUUUUCCUCUUCAUUGAAUUUUAGUCAUGAAUUCAGAGACCUGAGACUACAAAAAUGGUAUAAACAUUUCUACAGAUUUAGCAUUUAGUUUAUAAAAUAUGAAUUGCACCGGCUAUUGUAUUAUUAUGGUAAAAUAGAUACAUUACAAAAGUUACCAUUUUAACCAUGCUAUUAUAGCAUUUGGUGGCUUUCAGUGUAGUUAUGUUGUUUUAAAACCAUUACCACCAUCUCCCUCUCUCAUCUUCCUAAACUGAAACUGUAUCCAUUAAACAAUAAAUACACCUUUUCCCUCUCCUCUGAACUAAUUUAAAACUUAUCUAUUUCUGUAUUAUCUUGUCUCACUUGUUACUAUUGCAAAAGGCUAUUCUUUCAUUAUUUUUUAUAUUGUGGAACUGGCCCAGAUGUUGAGCAUUGUUAUGACUAAGGUUACACAAGUCAGUUUUACUAUUAGUGUCUCUUAGUUCUUUAAAAAGGAAGGUUUGUGCUGAUAUUAAUUGGAGAAUUUUUAUGUCUGUGUCUUGUACCCUCAGCAACUUUAAAGAUAACAUGUAAUUUAUUUAACUACUGUUAUUCUCCUAUUGUUACGAAAUUUUGUUUUACCUUUUUCCAUAAAAUAACAAAAAUACGAUUGCACAGUUUUCCAUGCUAUUAGUUGGUUUCCUGGGUGACAGAAUCUUGUUGCAUCAUAUUCUUUAUCUCUCAUCCAAACGCCAAUUAAAUGUGCAAUAGUACUGUAUUUUUGUUUGAGAGGUGACAAGAAAAUAUCUAUACCAGCCUCAUGAUCUUGAAUAAAAAUUGAACUGAAAUAUUGCUUUUUUAUUGUCUGAGAUUUUUGAGUACAUAAAUGAACUUUUUUCAAAAUUAUUAAAGAUGAAAGUAUGUGGUAGCUUGGUUAUUUUAAAAAUCUUAGUAAAAUUUUUUAUAGAUCAAUAUAUUUUGAAGUGUCCUGAUUGUGUAUUUGUCUUCUCCAACUUCUUUUUCUUUGUCAUGUUCGUUUCAACCUCUUUCGUCCCCUGACCUGUCCAUUUAUUUCACAUGGCUUUUCCUUUUUUUUUGAAACUGGGAGGCAAACUUAGGACCUUGCAUUUGCCAGGCAGGUUCUGUGCUGCUGAGUUACAUUAUCCUUUUGCUGAGUUCUAUUAUUCUUUCGCUUAGAUACCUCAUCUUUUUCAUUUCAGUUAUCUCUCAGUGGGAAGAAAAAAAUCCUUCUGGUUUGUAUUUCUUGACUUUGAAUUAAAUUCUGAAUCUAGAACUGUGACCUGGAAUUUUCUCAUAUGUUGUCUGUUGAUACCUUAAACAAAACACAUUUAUUGUUGGACUUAAUCAUUUUUUUUAAUGUACUGUAAGUCAGCUUCUUAUUUAUUGGUACUGCGAGUUGAACCUAGGCCAUGACACUCUACCACUGAUCUACGUGCUUAGAUCCUCCCACUCUUUGACAAUGGCACAUUUUUGUCAUUACCUAAGUUUCACAUGUUAUGCAUUAUCCUAACAUCUGCCCCUUUGAACAUGCACUUACUGGUCAGGGCAAAGCUGAUAAGCACAACUAGGAGAUAAAAGACUAAACAAAGAUUUAUUUCUUGCGGCAAAUAAAGAGAGUACUGGGUAUAAUUUUCAAAGUGUUACUUCUUUAACAAAGAGACAUAGAAAGUUUACUCUGUCCUCUGGAAGAGGGGCUGGCCAACCUUGACUGGAAUUAAGUAGAUUUCCUUCAGUUUUCUCUGAAAGGUCUUUGUCUGAAACAAUAACAACAACAAACAAUUUGAAGGAAUUUUAACAGUUACAGGGACAGUAACUUUUCUUCCUUCAAGCAUAGGUAAUUACCCCUAAAAGUACUUAUCUAGUGGCUAACAUCUUUUCAUAUUUUCUGCAGUGUAUCUAUUGUAGGACCCUGUGCUAGUCACCUUUCCACUGCUUGGGGAAAAAUACUUGAGAGAAACAAUUUUAAGGAGAGAAGCGUGAUUUUGGCUCAUAUUUUUAGAAAUUUCAAUUCUAGGUUGGCUGACUCCCCUUAUUUCUGGGCCAGUGGUGAGGCAGUACAUCAUGGGGGAAGAGAAUGGUGGAGAAAAGCUUCUUACCUCAUAGGGGCCACGAAACGUAAAGUGGAAGAAUCAGGAAUUAGGAAUUAGCACCAACAAGAUCAUGACUCCGUGGCCCACACCCUUGAGCUACAUUUCACCUCCUAGGUUUCCCUUGUCUCCACUAGUGUUAUCAAAUUGGGACUCUCAGUGGAGUUGUUGUUAAUACUGAUAUGUGACUUUGUUGGAUUAGAAGUCUCUAGCAGAUUAAAAGCAUGUUCCUAGGGUGUGUCUAGGUGGCUCAUGGAAGUGUAGUCUUGGGUACUAUAUAUGGUCUUUUCUUCAUUCCUUUCUGGCACUGUUCCUCUGUCCUGAUUGCUGGAUAGUAAUAGCUAAGUAGCUUUCUUCCAUUACAUCAUUCUGCCCUGAUGUUUCUUUCCUGGAGCCAGCUCACCAUGGACUGAAAUUUAGUUAGAUUAAAUAUUUCCUCAUUUAAAUUAUGGUUGUUGGAUAUUGUGUCUCAGAAACAGGAAAGUUGAUUAACAUAGAAAGUUGUUACCAGGAAUGGGGUUGUUGCUAUGACUGUACCUGAUCAUGUGGCUUAGAAGCACUUGGAUCUGGUUUGUAGGAAGGAUUUGGAAAGGUUUUGACAUGUAGGCUACAGAAGCUUUAGAAUGGAGUAAGCAGAGCCUGAUUGUGAAUUCUGGUUAGAGUUCAAAAGACCAGAGUGCUGAUAGGAAAGCAAAUAGUAAAAGUCAGGCUCAGGAAGUUUUCACUGAGAAUAACAACUCCAUUGGCAGUUGGACUAGAAGCUGUGUGUGUUAUACUCUGGCAGAAGAAUUGUCUGCAUUCUGCCCACGUCCUGAGAUGUUGACAGAUUGAGAAGGCAGUGGGCUAAUUAAUCUGGUGGAUAAAAUUUGAAGACAGUCCAAAAUUCAGGCUGUGGCAUGGUUGCUACAUUUAUAAUGGGAAUAGGAGGCAAAAGAAGGAGCAGAAGAAUGUGAAAAAUUAAGAUUCUGACACAUAAGGAACCAUGUGUAAAAUUGGGGUCAAAUGUGGGUGCUAAUAAGAUUAGCACCAUUUAAAAGAAAACAACUACUUUGUAUAGCAAUGAAAAGAAAGAUGACUUACCAAUAUUUCAAAAUCAUUAAGACCCUACUCAUCAUAAGCUCAAAGGUACAAAAGAAUUAAUCUUUCUUUUUGAGAAUAGUGUACCUGGGAUACUUUCUUGAGAAGAAAUUACUAGGAAAUUGGCUUCCCAGGACUCAUUUCACUGUGCUCAGGCAAUCAGGCACCAAGAGACUACUGCAGCUGUGAUAUACAGGGGCUGGCUGCUUAUGAUGUUAUGUGGAAUUACGAACUUGCUAUUGUCUUUAUUGAGAUUAAAUAUGAUUUAGAAGAUAUUUGAGUGUGAGGUUAACAAUGGGUUGAUUUUGACCAUUAAUCCUAUAUGUUGGUUUCCUUGGAUUAAGAAAUAUCUGGCAGGGGGGCUGAGGAUUUAGCUCAGAGACAUAAGUACCUGCCUUGCAAGCAGGUGGUUGUGAGUUUGAUCCCCGGUACCGAUAAAAAUGAAAAAGACAAAAAACAAACAAACAAACAAAAAAAGAAAUAUCUGGCAGGUUAGUAAAGCAUGUUCCUCUGUGUGUCUGGGUAGGUCAUGGAGGUGUAGUCUUGGGUAAUGUAUAUGGUUCCUCUUUGUUCUCUCACUGUUCACCUGCUCUGCUUCCUAUUCUAUUUUUUUUUUUUUUGUCUUUUUCCUUUUUAUUGGUACCAGGGAUCGAACUCACGACUGCCUGCUUGCAAGGCAGGUGCUUAUGCCGCUGAGCUAAAUCCUCAGCCCCACCUGCUCUGCUUCGUAACUGUAGUGAAGUAAAUGGCUUUGCCCCACCACACCUUUCACUAGGAUGUUUCUGCUGCCUUGGAGCCAGCUGACCAUGGACUGAAACUGGUUCACAUUAAACAUUUCCUCCUUUACAUUGUGGAUAUCAGGUAUUGUGCCUCAGAGAUCAGAAAGCUGACUAAUACACAUGGAUUAAUCUAUUAAUGAAGCUAGCACUUUCAUGAUCCAGUCACCUUCCAAAAUCCAACUUCUGCACACGAGCCAUUUGACAUUUUUUAUUCAAAUUUUAGAUUCAAAUAGAUUCAAAUUAUAGCUGGCCUGAUUACUUGAUACCUCGGCUACUGCAGUAUUCUCCAGUCAAAAGAAUCGUCUCUUAAGUACUUGGAGCACUUUCUUCAUAAUUCUUACAUGAAUGUUAUGAACAUUUAUUUUGGACUACAGACACUGACUCCUCCUGACCAUUGCCUUUUCAUCAUUAUAUGCCCAUAAAACCUUACAUCAUAGUUGGUACUCAAUAAAUGUUUUUGAGAGUAUGGUUUUCAUAGUAGAAUGUCUUUUUAUGCUAAUGUAGUUUACACAGCAUUUUGAGGUCCUUCCAUUAAUUAUGCAAUGUUGACUGCUUAUUAUGUGCCAAGGACUCUCAACACACUAAAGAUAUACUUAUGCACAAAAACAAAAAUUUACACGCUCUGGUGGUUUGUAAUCUAGGGUAUUUCAGAAACCAGUAAGACAUUACUCAUCAUAGACUCAUAGUGUGGUGGAAGAAUCCUAAAUUAGUAUAUACACAUCUGUACCUAUGUCUGUAUAUCUAUAUAUUUGUAUAUCUCAUGUUAGGUAUGAAAAUUGAAGUAGUGGAAUAAGAGCUUUCAAAGAUGAAAGACUGACAUAUGGGUAAGGUGUUCAGGAAGGCUUUCUGUCCAGGUGGCAUGUGAGUAAAAACUUGAAGCAUGUGAAGCAGAAAGCGAGUAUCUUGGGGUAGAAGGUGUCAGGUAAAGGGAGAAGCCAGUGCAGAGGACCCAGGUACAAGCGUGCCUGACAUGUUGGAAUAUCGGGAAGGAGCAGAGUGAACAGAAGAUGGGCAGUAGGAAGCAUAGAUGUGCGGUAAGGAGUAAGGUAUGGAGUGGGAGGGUACUGAUUGAAUAGGAUCUUGUGUGUCAUACUUGAGUUUUCCUUCUGCAUGUGAUGGUUAGUCGUUGGAGGAUUUGAGCAUACAAGUGACGUAUUCUGAUUGACAUUAACAGAAUUGCUAUGGCAGCUGUACUGAAAGGAAAGAGAGGGCAGGCAGAUCAGUUAGGAACUCUGACACAAAUCCAGGAUUGAGGAUGGUGGCUCAGGCUUCAGUGAUAGCAGUGGGAGUAGUGGGAGAACUUGGCUUGGGAUAUAUUUGGAGUAGAACUGACAGAAAUUUUUGAUAGAUUGAUAGUGAGUUGCAAGGGGAAAAGGCAGAUCCAAGGAUGACUUAAGAUUUUUGGCCUGAGCAGUGGAAAGAGUAGAAUUGCCACUAACUGACAGAGAGUGGUAGUGUGGAGAGAAGCAGGUGUGGCGGGGGCUUUGAGGAAUCCAGCUUCAGGUGUGCUACGGUUUUUGAUGGCUGCUGGGUAUGCAGGAAGAGCAAGGCUGCUUAAGUGCAUGUGAGUCUGCUAGAUUGAAGUUUAGGAAGAUCAACAUACAAAUAAGAUUUAAAACUAUGAGACCCGAUGGUCCUGUAGAAAAGAGUAAACCUUUGGGAAUCCCUUACUCCAUCUGUUUAGUCUGUGCCUCCAAAAGUUCUAGGGUUUCCUUGGUUGUUCAUAGCAUAAUUUUAUACAUACCUUUUCCCCAUUACGCUGGAAUAUUUAUGUUGCAUGAGCUUUCCUUUUGCAAUAUUUCCUUCCUAUGGUUAUGGUAAAUUUUUAUUCCUUUUACUUAGAGUAUGCUCUUUCUUUCUUUCUUUCUUUUUUUUUUUUUUGGUACUGGGGAUCGAACCCAAGACUGCACGCUCUCCAAGCAGGUACUUAUGCUGCUGACUAAAUCCUAGGCCCCACUUUCUUGCUUUCUAACCAACUUAAAUCUACUUUUGUCCAAGUAGUUUUAUCUUUUUAUCUCAGAGAUUUAUUUUUUUAACAUCUGUGGUUCUAUUUCAUUUUGUACAUUCUUCUUUCACUCCUCCUUAUCUCAUCUGUUUUAAAAUUCACCACAUUUUUAUAUGUGUCCUUUUCCCCCAGUACUAAGCUAAAUGAGGUUUAUGGUGCAUACUAAGACUUUUAAUGCUUUAUCUUCUACAGUGAUCAGAACUCUAGUUCUACUUCUCAGAGUCAGUCUGUAGAGAAACAGUCUUUCUAAACACUAGAAAGCUGGGCUUGAACCCACUACAGAGCCCAGGCUGGCCUCGAACUCACAGUGAUACUCCUGCCUCAGCCUCCCAAGUGCUGAGAUUACAGGCAUGAACCACAACACCUGGCCUGUACUCUCUUCUAAUGAUAUUUAUAUUACCCAGUACCAAUAUCAUGUUGAUUUGAUUGUAGAGGCUUUAAGUGUUUGUUAGACUUGUCCCUCUACUCUUACACAUACCUUUCGGGACUAUUCUUAGGCAUUUCCUCCUGUAUAAAUUUAAAAAUGCGGUAUUCUGCUAUGUUGCUGAAUUUAUUAGUUCUAAGAGUCUUCCAAUGUUUUUUUUUAAAUUUUCUAUGUAAAGGGUUGUAUAAUCUAUAAAUGAGGACAGUGUAUCCCUUUUAUUUCUUUUUUCUUCCCUGAUUUCUCUGGUUAAAGUUUUGAGUACUAUAUUGAGUAGAGGCAGGGAGAGGGGACAUCUUUGUUUUGUUCCUGACUUUAGAGGAAAUAUUUUCAUCUUUUUUUGGUUGUUGUUUAGUAUGAUAUUGGUAGUGGGUUUGUCAUGAAUGACUCUUAUCAAAUUGAGAUAAGAUCUUUUUUCAUCAGGUUUUUUUUUAAGUCAUGAAUGGGUGUUGAAUCUUAUUGAAGGCUUUUUAUGCAUCUAGUGAGGCAGUCAUGUGAUUUUUGUCCUUAUUCUGUUUAUGCGAUAUAUUACAUUUAUUGAUUGUCAUAUGUUGAACCAUUCUUGCAUCCUUGGAAUGAAGCUGGCUUGGUCAUAGUGUAUGAUUUGCUGCAUGCUGUCAGCACAUGUCUUGUUGAGGGUUUUUUCCUGUGUUCCUUAAGGAAAUUAGUCUGUUCUUUUCUUUUUAUUAAUUCCUGGCCUGGUUUUUGUGUUACAGUAAUACUAACUUCUAGGAGUGAGUUUGGCCAUGUUUCUUCCCUUUUAGUUUUGUGGAAGAGUUUGGGAAGUGCUGGUAAAAUUCUGUGGCCAGUGCAUCAGGUCUUGAGCUUUUUUUCAUUGCUAAGGUUGUUAUGACUACCUCUAUUUUAUUGCCUGUUACUGAUCUAUUUAGAAUUUUUUUGGUUCAGUUUUGGUAACUGAUAUAUGUCUAUAAAUUUAUGCAUUUCUUUUAUGUUCUUUAAUUUAUUGGAAAAUAAGUUUUUAAGAAUAGUUUCCUGUAAUCCAUUAGAUCUUAGUAGUUGUGUUGUCACCUUUUUCAUUUUAAAUAGUAUUCCUAGAGUUGUUUUUCUUUCUUUUGGUAAGUUUGGCCAGUUGGAGUUUAUCAAUUUUGUUUAUCCUUUCGAACAUCCAACUUUUUGAUUUAUUGGGUUUUUUUUGGGUAAUUUUUAGUCUCAAUUCUAUCAGUUUAUGCUUUGAUUUUCAUAAUUUCUUUCCUUCUACUAGUUUUGCAUUUGGAUUGUUCUUGUUUUUCUGCUACCUUGAACAGAGUGGCAGCACACAAAAACCAAUGCACAAAAAUCAAUAGCAUUCCAGUAUACUGAUGAUGAACCUAUUGAGAAAGAAACAAAUAAUCCCACUCACUGGGCGUGGUGGUGCAUGCCUGUAAUCUCAGCACUUGGGUAGUCUAAGGCAAGAGGAUCACUGAAGCCAGCUGGGGCUACAAAGUGAGUUCAAGGCCAUCCUGAACUACAUAGGGAAACCUUGUCUCAAAAAGAAAAGAAAAGAAAACAAAACAAUCUCACUUAUGGUAGCUUCAAAAAUUUAAAUACCUAGGUAUUAACCUAGCAAAGAAAGUAAAAGACCUCUGUAAUAAAAAUUACAGCACUCUGAAUAAAGACACUGAAGAGAAUGUUAGAAAAUGGUAAGACCUCCCUUCUUCCUGGAUAGCAGAAGCAGUGUUGUCAAAAUGGCCAUAUUACCAAGAAUAAUAUGUAGAUUUAAUGUAUUUGUAAGCAAAAGGCCAACAGCAUUCUUCACAGAACUUGAAAAAACAAUUUUAAACUUUAUAUGGAACCAGAAAAGGACCCAGAGGAACCAAAGCAACCUUGUCAACAAGAGCAAAGCAAGAGGCAUUAGAAUCGCAGAUUUAAAGUUAUGUUACAAAUGUCCUGGUAAAAACAGCAUGGUACAGACACCAAACAGACAUAUGUGUCAGUGGAACAAAACUGAAGAUAGAGAAAUAACCCCAGGCAUGUUAAGUGAUCUGAUCUUUGACAAAAGGGUAGAAAACAUACCCUGGAGAAAAGGGAUCUCUUUAAUAAAUAGUGCCUAGAAAACUGUUAUCCAAAUACAGAAUGAAUAUAGGCUUAUGUCUCUCAUCUAGUACCAAAGUACACUCAGAGUGGAUCAAAGAGCUCAGUAUUAAGUCAGAAACACUGAAUCUGCUGGAAGCUCAGAUAAAUAAAAUUCUUGAGUACACAAGCAUAGGCCAAGACUUUCUGAACAGAAUCCCAGGUGCACAAGAAAUAAUACCAAGAAUCAACAAAUGUGAUCAUACCAAAUUAAAAAAGCUUCCAUACAGCAAAGGGAACAACCAACAAAGUGAAGAGACAACAUAGAGAAAAAGUUUUGCCAGACUCUCAUCAGAGGGCCAAUAUCUAGAACAUAUAAAGAACUUAAAAAAAUAGACCCUUCCCAAUUGAAAUGGACAGAUGUUCCUGAAAAGAAGUAUAAAUGGUCAAUAAGUACAUGAACAAGUGUUGGCAUUUUUGGCCAUUAAAGAAAUGCAAAUCAAAAUAGCACCAAGAUUCCCUCUGAACCUCAAAAAAAGUUAUCAAGAAACCAAAUUACAACAAAUACUGGCAAGGUUGUAGAGAAGAAGAAAUGCUGCUACAUUGCUAGUGAGGAUGUAAACUAGUACAACUAUUGUAGAAAUUCGUACAGAGGUUCCUCAAAAAACUAAAUAACAGAGAUUCCAUGUAACCCAGGUAAACCUCUUCAUAUGCUUUCUCAUGUAUGUUGCAUCACAAUUCAUAAUACUGAAUCUUAGAAGUGGCUUAUAGUGGCUUAUUCAUUUACAUAGGUAAAUGAAUGGGUAUGAAGAAGACUGAAUUCAGGUCAUUUGUAGGAAAAUCAAUUCAUCCUAAGACCAUAAUGCUAAGUGAAGUAAGCCAGACACAAGAGGUUAAAUAGCACAUAGUUUCUCUUAUAUGAGAAAUACAAAUGUAAAGUACAAGGUGGUAGAAAUCAUGGAGAUAAAAUUUGUGGAGAUAAAAAGGGGUUCUAGGGAUGGGAGAAGAUGAGGGCCAGGGAGGGGAAGGAAAAGCAAAAAUAAUUAAAUGAGAUACACAUAUGUACCAAUUUCCCAAGGUAAAUGUAAAUAUUAUGUGUGAUAAACAUAUUAAUAAAAAGAAACCAGAGAAAACAUUAAAAAUGAACUUUAGAAUUAUUUUGAUAAUUAAACACAAUGAUACACAUUGGUUUUGGGAGGAUUUGUAAUUUAUGUCUUUCCAAUAUUCAGUUUUUAGUUUGUAUCUUAGAUUUUGUAGUUUUUUCAUGCAGGCUUUGUGUUUCUCUUAAGUUUAUUAUGAUGCUUGUUACAAUUUUUUGUUAUCUUGUAUGAGGAACAAUUUUUGCCUUUUCCUCUUUGAUAUACCUAUUGCAAAUAUUAAAAAAAUUCUUGAUUUUAUAAAUAGAUUUAGUGGAAUCAUCUUCCAAAAUUCUUUUAUUGAAUCAGAAUUUUUUAUUGGCACUUUUUCUAUUUUACUGGCACAUAAUCAUAUCACUAGCAACUUCUUUUUAAAUAUUUAUAAGAAUUACUUCAUUUUCUUAGUCAAAUUGUUAUAUGUGUAAAACAAUUCCACAAAAAGUUAUUGAAGACCUUUGCAUUUCUUGUGUGUCAAGCACUGUAAUGCAAAAGAUUCAAAAACAAAUCAACAAAAUGUAAUGUGGCUGCUUUGUGGUGCUUACCUCAGUGACUAGUGGCAAAAGCAGGCUUCUUAUUCUGAUUCUUUAUUGAAAUGGUUUAGUGCAUCAUUGUUCAGUAAGAUAUUUGUGGUAUGCAUUGAUGAACAGACUUUAUCAUGCUUGUAUCAUUUCCCUGUGGGCCUGUGUUUCUUUAAGUUUUUACUAGAAAUAGUGGCUAAGUUUUAUUUAUUUAUUUAUUUUUAAAAUUUUAUUUAAGGAGGAAAAAAAAGCAGAGAAAGGGUACAAGUUAUACAGAUUUACAGAAAAAAAUAAACAAUAGGAAACCACUAGUUAAUGGAUUACAUAUUGUCAUCUUAGAAAUAAUUGUUCAAGUCACAAAAUUAAAGCUUGUAAACUGGACAUUCCAACAGUGAGACUGCAAACAGUUCUGUUCAAUGAUCCAAUAAAACUCAGUGAUAUCAUUUUCUAUCUUAUACACUUAAAUAUACAUGCAGUUAUAUCGUUUAGAGCACUUUCUUUUCCUCUCUUUUGUACAAUGACAAUUACACAUUUUGGGUUUUGUUGCUCCCACAGUUCUUAUUACUUUUUUGGAAGGGAGUAAAACCAAAUGUGACCUAACAGAACAGAGUCAAUCAAAUCAAAAGGGUGGACAUAAUAGAUAAUGUAAAAGCAUAAUACAAGGUGAUCAAUAAUGGUUACCAUAAUGCCUCCCGCUAUCUCUAAUAGAAUUGCUUAUAUCAUCAAUUAUAAUAAAAUUGAACAAAACAGUAAAGAACAAAACCAACAAAACCAAAAUGUUGGAGACAUUAUAGGUCUUUAAAAGUAGAUAAAAGUCAACGAGAAUGGGCGUCAUAAUGAAUCUCACUAUCUUCACAGCUGUUGCCUAAACUUUCGAACCUGGUACUGUCAAGCAAAACAGAAUAGGGGAACAUCAGUCAAAAGGAAGAUGGUGAGAGUAAUACAGGGCUUUAAAUCAAGAUAAUGGAAAGUCAAAGUGGGUUACUAUAAUAUAUCCUGCUAUUUUUUAUUUAUUUUUCCCUUAAUUAAAAGGAUAAAAAUAAAAAAGUAAAUAAUGAAGUGGAGAUUGAGAUAAGAGGGAAUAACAGCAAAACAGCACAGAUCAAAACAUAACCAUUUAAGCAGAAUAGUGUUUCACCACAAGAUAAUCCUGACAUAAAAGUAGUUACCAUAUUGUCUCUUUCCUUGAAAUCUUUGAGUAUAACUUCAUAUACUGUAGCAUCAAAUAUAUCAAAACAAUGUAAAACCAUUUAAGAGAAUGACAGCAUUAUAGGGUAUUUAGAAUCAACUAACAGAAAAUUAACAAUGGUUUCUGUAUAAUCUCCUUGUCUUUAAAAGUUUUUGCUUAUACUAUCAUACAUAAUAAAAUCCAAUAAGAUACAACCUGUUUAGACCAAUGGAGACAGAAGAACAAAAGCUUGAUGAGACUUCAAAACAAGAUAAUACUAACUCAGUAUUACCUCUUAAGACGUCAUUUUCCCCAAAAUAGCUGUUCUAUCAUCCAAUCUUCUCUGCCUCUUUUCUGUUGAGCUCUUUUUCUGUCAUUAGUUGUCAGUUUGUCUUCUUCAUUUUGUUUUCUACUCCAUUCAUUGUGGCCUCUCUGCCACUAUUUCUGGAUUCUUUGUAUUUUUCUUAGAAUAUCCUGCAGUAUUCUGUGUAGAGUUGAAUUGGUGGUUGCAAAUUCCCCUAAUUCCUCUUUAUCCUGGAAGCAGCUUGUUUUUCCAUCAAUUUCCAGGGAUAGUUGUGCAGGAUAUAUCAAUCUUGGCUGGAGAUUAUUAUCUUUCAAAGCUUGAAUUAUUUCCCCCCAUGCUCUUCAUGAUUUGAUGGUUUGUGGUGAGAAGUCUGCUGUAAUUCUGAUGGGUGUUCCCUUGUAAGUGAUCUGUUUCUUGUCUCUGACAGCUUUUAAUAUUCUGUUCUUGUAUUGAAUUUCUGGAAUUUUUAUUAUUAUAUGCCUGGGUGUUGCUCUGUUUGGGUUGUAGGUGGCUGGGGUCCUGUAUGCCUCAUACAUCUGAGUAUCUUUACCUUUUGCUAAAUUAGGAAAAUUCUCCUGGAUUAUUUCUGUGAGUAGCUUUUGUAGCUCAUUUGUUUGCGUCCCUACUUCUUUUAUGUUCUUAAUUCUUAAGUUAUGGAUCCUUUUAUCAUCUUCUAGUCUUUGUAUUAUUGCUGUUUGUUUCUUUGUUACUUUUAAGAAGUUUUUCAUUUCAUGCUUCUAUAUUACUAAUCUGCCCUCCAGUUUAGAUAGUCUGUCCUUAGUUUCUUUCAAACUGUUAUGCCAGUUUUUGAUAGAGUUUUUAGUUUCCUGGUAGUCUCUUUGAACCUGCUUCACGUAUUCUAUGCUUUCUCUAUUUUCUCCAUCAAACAAUUCUCCCCUCUUUUCUGUUCUUCCAUUCUACCAUCUGUUUUUUCUUGGGUGGUGCUUAGCAUUUCUCUAACUAUUCUGCUUAUUUCUAGCUUCAGGUCAUUAAUAACUUCAUUCCUGAACUGAUCUAUGAGGCUCUUUAGAUGGCGCUUUAUGUCUAUUGGUACAGUGUCCGCUGUUGCCUAUUUCUCAGGAUUGGGGGCCAAGGAGCCUUUCUUGUUGCUGCCUCUUCCCAUAUUCUUUGUUCCUUAUAUAUGCAAGCUUAUAUAGGAGGCCCAGCUUCCCUCCCUGUCAGCCACAGCCUGAUCGAAUUGCACCGGCUAGGUGUUCCCGCCCACCGCAGCACACCAGGAAAUUGUAGACCAGGCAGCCUACGCGGUGCCCGCCCCUCCAGGCCACCCUGAGGCUCUGGGAUCUGGGUUGUGCCAGCCUACUGGGUCUCCGCCAGCAGCGUCACGUAGGCUAGGCAUUUCUCACCAAUCCCGCUUGAGAGGGGGAUACGUGGCUGAAGUCGCUGCAGCGCCCCGCUCCUGCAAGUCUGCUCAGUCCCAGAAUGUCUUCCGCUGGAGUCUCAUUAAACUGUGGGAGAGCGUCAGUUUCUCUCACUCACCUCCCGCAAGUCAGUGCACGGCUCCCCGCCCGUCCUGUUUUCAACUCCGUUCGCCGAUUCCCGUACUCAGAGCUUCCACGCGUCUCUCUCCUUGCUGAGCUGAUGUAGACGCAGCCGCCGCGCGGUGGGAAACCCAAAUCGCGGCUUCCAAUGGUGCGGGCUCCAGCCUCCACACUGAGGCCCCUCUGUUCCUGUUCUAGCACCAGGAGUGCGUUCCAAAUUGGUUUCUCUCAGCCCAGUUCGUUCCUGGGUCAGCAGAGCAUAUCUCCACCUGCUUAUGACUCCUUAUUCUGCACCAUUCCUGAAUUCUAAGCCGAGUCUUUCAGAGAGCCUCCGUAGCUGCUGCUAUCUGUCCGCCAUGUUCUCCCGGAAACUAAGUUUUAUUUAACAUGUUAAAAAAAGAAUAGCUAUCAUCCAAAUAGCCCUUUUCAGCCACUGUUAAUAUGAUCAUCUGAGUUCAUCUGUUGCUUUUUAUAAAUCUUACUUUUAAUUGUUCUCUAAUCAACUGUUACUCAUUUAAUAUGAACGUAAGUCAUCUUACACAAUCAAUACUUAGCAUAUUACAGAUAGAUCAUCCUCAAUAAAAUAUCUGCAAUGAAAAAUGCUGCAAUGAAAAAAACUAACAUUUUGGGGCUGGGGAUUUAGCUCAGCAGCAUAAGCGCCUGCCUUGCAACCAGGCAGUCGUGAGUUCGAUCCCCGGUACCGAUGAAAAGGAAAAAGACAAAACAAUCAAACAACAACAACAACAAAAGAACCCUAACAUUUCAGACUUUGAAAUUUUGCAUCAGAGAUGCUCAACUAGUAAAGUCUUUAAAGUGUUCCAGAAUUAAAAAAAACCAAACCAAAACACCCCAAAAAUCUGAAAUACCUCUGUUCCAAAACAUUUCAGAUAGGGAAUAGUCAACCUGUAGUUACUAGUUUAAUUAAUAAAUAUAUUGUUUUCCAAAAUGAACAGCAUAGUACAGCAAUCCUAUCUCACCUGGUUUUCUUGCUGUGUAUAUGACUGUGAAUAUGUGGUCUGAGCUUUUCCCCCUUCCUUGGUGUCUGGUGGGAGAGUGAGUAUGGCAGAAGUAACACUAUGUCAUUUCCAAGCCUAAAUCAUAAAAGGUGAUGUACGUUCUGCUUUUGGUGCUUUCCUUGUGGAAUCCCAGCACCCUGGUAUGAAGAGGGCCAAGCAGCCUGUGGAGAGGCUGUGCAAGAGAGUCACAGCUCAGAGACCUGCUGCGGGCCGCUGAGGGCCACGUGAUCUUCAGAAUGUCAAUGAGUGAACUUUCAGGUGAUGGCUCCCCCCAGCUUCUCAGUCACCUUUAGCUUUCAGCUCUUCCCACCAGGUGCCAGGUGCUGUAGAACAGAGACAAGCCAUCCUGUUGGACUCUUUAUUUGAAUGCUCAACUCACAGAAUCUGUAAGCAUAGUGAAAGCAACUGCUUUAUAAUACUACAUUUGAAAUGAAAAUAAGAAACAGUAAUGAGGAAAACUGGAAGUGAAGUAUUUUUAUGCUUAUACAGUACACAUUACUUGAAUUAUGUGGUCAAUUGUAACAAACUACCAACUUCAUGUAACUGAAAGAAUAUCUGUAGAGACAUAAAAUGAAUUAAGACGUGUUAUGUAUGGCUACCAACUCCUCACGAUGAAUGUAAUCAUUUUGUACUGCAAACAUGUACUAAUAAAAAUUUGAAAUAAAUUAAAAUAGCCUAUAAAGAGUAUCUGAUUGUAGAGAAACCCUAAAAUAAUGUAUUUUGAGAAGUUCAAGUCAUUUCUCCAAACAAGAAAUUCCUUUUCUUUGCAAUGAAUAUUAAUCAUUUGGUCAUGGUGUAGAUAAAAUUUUAAAAAUUGCUACUUCUAAAAUGUUUUACUAUGUUAAUGUAAAACAAAUAAUAGUUAAUAAAUGAUUUUAAGGAUAAUUUGAGAUUUUUAGUGUACAGACAUUUUAGUUUUUAAUAAAAACAUACAUAAUAUUAAACAAAAUGGGUUAAAUUAACAGGCAAACAGGAACUCUUCUCCCCUUUUUUCAUAUUUAAUUGGCACUGGAAAUUGGUCAUUACUUUAUAGACAUGUAGGAUCCUAGCUAACUAUUUGGUAUAUCAAAGAUUGUUAUUUUCAAAGGGGAAAAGUAAUUGGGAUAGAAGAAAGGAAAGAAGGAAGGGAAAAGGAAAGAUAUAAAUUUGUAUAUAUACAUAAGAUAGCUAAGAUGACUAUACUACUAAUCCUGUUCUUGGAAAAGAACAGUUAAUACUCAUGUGAUCAGAUCAAUUUUGCAUGUCUAUCUGAUAAUCUAAGCAAUUUUUUGAAGAUAACAAUAUGCAAUAUAACAGCCAUUGUUAAAUUCCUGUCAUCUUGAAAGCCUAUAUUGUUAUUGUUUUGGGUUUGUUGUUGUUUGCUGCUUUUGCCUUUUGUUUUUCUUUUCUGUUUUUCUCUUUUAAACAACAAAAAAUUGUCAUUUUUAAAACCUGAUUCUGCUCUUGCCUCCAGAAAUUCUCUGCUGCAUGAAGAACUCAUAUCAUACAGGUAAUAUGAACUGGGAAAUAUAGACAUAAAAAACUUCUCUAAUUACUAUACAUUUGGGGAAUGGUUCUUGUGAUCAACCUUCUUUUGAAGUAAGUAUAAGAUAUCAAAUCGAAGUUCUCAAUUAAACUUCUUCACAGGCCAAUAAAAUUUUCUAUUAAUAAAAAUUGAGUAUGCCUUUAUGCUUAUAAAUUAUUUCUUUCUAGUUUUAAAAUUAAGAUAGCCAUCUUGUUAGGCAUGGUAGCACAGUCCUGUAAUCCCGCCACUCUGGGAGACUGCAUCUUUAUUUCUUUAGUAGAUUGGGUUUAGUAGGAAGGGCUACACAGUAUUUCUGGCCCAUCCUGAUCUAGUAUUUUGUCAAUUCCUGCAUUAGGAGUUUAAAUCCAUUUCCCUUCCCUUGAAUUUGCAUUUAUGUUGAGUUUCUCAGUGAGUUGAAUGCUGAAGAAGUUACACUGCAGAUCUCCCAAGGUUUGUAGGAAGUUGUGAGGAAGCUCAGACCUUAUGAAGAAGACAGUGCAGGCCAGUUAAGGCCUCAAUUAAAAACCAGAAUCAGCCAGCAAACAUGUGGCAGUCUUCAGCCUUAGAGUCCCCAGUUGAUACUGGGGGAAACAGUGCUGAGGUAUCUUCACCAAGCUCUUUCCAAAUUGCAGAUUCUUAACCCAAAGAGUUAUUAUCAAACCAUUAAAAUUUUGGAGAGUUUGUUAUACAGUCAUGGAAACUAAGAUAACUGGAAGUGGGACACUGUGUAACAGAGAUCUGAAAACAUAGCACUGACUGAUGGGUAUUGGUUCGACAGGACUGGAAAUUGGGCAAGAAGCGAGAGGAUCUUGAUGAGCCUGGGGGAGGCUGCUAGCCCUUGAGGCUGUCAAAGAGGAUUUAAUGCAAACGGGAAAUGUCAUUGGGAGCUAGAGAAGAGCUGGCACUUCCUCCGUUAAAACAGAAGAUUUAGUGACAUUUCCACUAAAGUGAUGUGGAAAGUAGAAAUGCUUAUAAUGAAUUGCAUGAUAAGAAUAUUUCUGGGUAGAAAAAUGAAGGUAUAGUCUGGCUUCUUGCAGCUCAUGCUGAAAUAAGCUAGGGAGAUACAAGCUAAAGAAAGAAUUGUUAAAUAUAAAGGAGCCAGAACUUGUUGAGUUUGAAAAUAAAACUUUCUCUUUCCCGUUCCCCCACAUGGUAGAUAAUUCUAAAAUUAAGAAAUGGGUUAUGGAAGAAGAUCAAAUCUAAGGCAUUGUCAGGAAAACAUUAUUUACUAGGAAGCCAGCAAAGUGAUUGUAAAUCUCUUAAGUCCUCAGAAAAUUUAGUGUCUUGCUUUACCAAGACAAUAGUCCCUUUGAAUAUUUAAGGCGGUGCCAUACCUUGUACCGUAGAUCUUUUCCACUAAAUGGAAGAUCCUCUAGGAAUUUAUGUCAUUGCUCCUCAGCGCUCCUACAGGCUGCUCAAGGACUUAGUGUGAAAAAAUUUGUAGGUAUGGCUUUUGUCUAAUAAAAUGAAUUAUACAUUGAUUCACAAUGAAUCUACAAUGUUUUGUUUUAAAUGAACUUUUUUUUUUACAGCAGUUUCAAGUUCACAACAAAAUUGGGCUAAAAGUACAAUUUCUGUCUAUUGUCCUUGUACUUGUCCCUCAGAAGUCUCCUACACUAUCAAUAUAUCCCUCACAGGAAAGUUUUUUUUACAAUCAGUGAACAUACUAUACAUUAACACAUCAUUAUCAGUCUGUGUCCACAGUUUAAAUUUUAGCUCACUCUUGGUAUUAUUUAAAAUAUAAAUGUCACUUCCGGGAGAACAUGGUGGACAGAUAACAGCAGCCAUGGAGGCUCUCUGAGAUUGCCAAUUUAGAAUCCAGGAAUGAUGCGGUGUGAGGAGUCCUAAACAUGGGGAGAUAUACCCUGCCAACCCGAGAACAAAGUAAGCUGAGAGAAACCAACUGGAAAUGCAAUCCUGGUCUAUAACAGGAACAGAUAAAAUCUCAGUGCUGAAGUUGGAACUUGCACUUCUGGAAGCUGUGAUUUGAAUUUCCUGCUGCUGCAGCUGCGUCUGAAUCGGCACAGCAGGGAGAGAGACGUGCGAAAACUCUGAGAGCAGGAAUCGGCAAACCGAACAGAGUUGAAGGAACUGGUGGGGAGUCCUACAUUGACCUGUGGUGAGUGAGAGGAACGGGGACCCUUCCAUAGACUAGGAGGCUCCAACAAAGGACAUUCUGGGACCCGGUAGACUCGCUGGAACAGUAUGCUGCAGUGACUUUAGUCACAUAUUCCCCUCAAGCAGGAUUGGUGGGGAGUGCUUGGCCUGGGUGACGCCGCGGACUAAGAUUCAGUAGGCUAGCCCAAAUCAGGUCCCUGCGCCAGGCAGUGCACCCUAGCAGUGAAGCCUUCAGUAGGUUGACCUGGAGGGGCAGGCCCAGCAGAGGCUACCCAGGUCUUUGUCUCCCUAGUACACUGCAGUGGGUGGGAACACCUAGCCGGCUGAUUCAAACAAACUGUAACAGACAAAGAGAAAAAAAACUGGGCCUCCUGUAUAUGCUUGUGUGGAAGGAACAAAAAGUAUGGGAAGAGGGAGCAAUAAGAAAGGGUCCUCAGUCCCCAAUCCUGACAACACUGAUCCAGGAAAGGUAAAUGCAAAGGAGAAUGAGGACAAAAAACAUGCAAUAUCAGACACGGCACCAAUAGACAUAAAGCGAUAUCUCUGGAGCCUCAUAGACAAGUUCAAAAGUGAAGUAUUUAACGAAAUAAAGCAAGAUAUAAGUAGAAUAGUGAGAGAAAUGCUAAGCACCACCCAAGAAAAAACAGAUGGUGGAAUGGAAGAACAGAAAAAAAGGGGAGAAUUGUUUGAUGGAGAAAAUAGAGAAAACAUAGAAUAGGUGAAGCAAGUUCAAAGAGAUUACCAGGAAACUAAAAACUCUAUUGAAAGCUGGCAUAACAGCUUGAAAGAAACCAAGGAUAGAUUAUCUGAACUGGAGGACAGAUUUGUAAGGUAGAAGCAUGAAAUGAAAAACUUCUUAAAAAUAGCAAGGAAACAAACAGCAAUAAUACAAAGGCUAGAAGAUGAUAAGAGGAUCUAUAACGUAAGAACAUAAAAGAAGAAGUAGGCACACAAACAAAUGAACUACAAAAGGUAUUUACAGAAAUAAUCCAGGAGAAUUUCCCUAAUUUAGCAAAAGGUAAAGAUACUCAGAUGUAUGAGGCAUAUAGGACCCCAGCCACCUACAACCCAAACAGAGCUACACUCAGGCAUAUAAUAAUCAAAAUUCCAGAAACCCAAUAUAAGAACAGAAUAUUAAAAGCCAUCAGAGACAAGAAACAGAUCACUUACAAGGGAACACCCAUCAGAAUUACAGCAGACUUCUCACCACAAACUAUCAAAUCAUGAAGAGCAUGGCGCAAAAUAAUUCAAGCUUUGAAAGAUAAUAACCUCCAGCCAAGAUUGAUAUAUCCUGCACAACUGUCCGUAGGAAUUAAUGGAGAAACAAAAUGCUUCCAGGAUAAAGAGGAACUAGGGGAAUUUGCAACCACCAAUUCAACUCUACAGAGAAUACUGCAGGACAUUCUAAAAAAGAAAAAUACCAAGAUUCCAGAAACAGUUGCAGAGAAGCCACAAUGAAUGGAGCAGAAAGCAAAAUGAAGAAGACAAACUGACAACUAAUGACAGAAAAAGAGCUCAACAGAAAAGAGGCAGAGAAGAUUGGAUGAUAGGAACAGCUAUUUUGGAGAAAAUGACGUCUUAAUAGGUAAUACUGAUUUAGUAUCAUCUUGUUUUGAAGUCUCAUCAAGCUUUUCUUCUUCUGUCUCCAUUGGUCUAAACAGGUUGUAUCUUAUUGGAUUUUAUUAUAUGUGAUAAUAUAAACAAAAACUUUUACAGACAAGGAGAUUAUACAGAAACCAUUGUUCAUUUUCUGUUAGUUGAUUCUAAAUACCCUGUAAUACUGUCAUUCUCUUGAACGGUUUUACAUUGUCUUGAUAUGUUUGAUGCUACAGUAUAAGAAGUUAUACUCAAAGAUUUCAAGGAAAGAGACACUAUGGUAACUACUUUUAUGUUGGGAUAUCUUGUGGUGAAACACUAUCUUGCUUAAAUGGUUAUGUUUUGACCUGCGCUGUUUGGUUGUUAUGCCCUUUUUUUUAUCUCAAUCUCCUUUUUUAUUAUUUAUGUUUUCAUUUUUAUCCUUUUACUUAAGGGAAAAAGAAAAAAUAGCAGGAUAUAUUAUAGUAACCCAUUUUGAUUUCCUAUUAACUUGAUUUGAAACCCUGUAUUGCUCUCACCAUCUUAUUUUGACUGAUUUUCCUCUAUUCUGUUUUGCUUGAUAGUACCAAGUUCAAAAGUGUAGGCAACAACUGUGAAGACAAUAAGAUUCAUUAUGAUGCCCAUUCUGGUUGAUUAUUAUCUUCUUAUGAAGUCCUCUAAUGUCUCCAAUGUUUUGGUUUUAUUGGCUUUGUUUUUUACUGUUUUGUUCAAUUUUAUUAUAACUGAUGAUAUAGGCAAUUCUUUUUGAGAUAGCGGGAGGCAUUAUGGUAACCAUUGUUGAUCACCUUGUAUUAUGUUUUUACAUUAUUAUGUCUACCCUUUUGAUUUGACUGACUCUGUUCUGUUAUAUCACAUUUGGUUUUACUCUCUUCAAAAAAAAGUAAUAAGAACUUUGGGAGUAAUAAAACCCAAAAUGCGUAAUUGUCAUUGUACAAAAGAGAGGAAAAGAAAGUGCUCUAAAGGACAUAACUGCAUUUAUAUUUAAGUGUAUAAGAUAGAUAACCAUAUUACUGAGUUUUGUUGGAUCAUUGAACAGAACUGUUUGCAUUCUCACUGUUUGAAUGUCCACUUUAUAUGUCUUAAUUUUGUAACUUGAACAACUAUUUCUAUGAUGACAAUAUGUAAUCUAUUAACUAGUGAUUUCCUACUGUUUAUUUUUUCUGAAAUUCUGUAUAACUUGUACCCUUUUUCUGUUUUUUUUCUUUUUCCCCUUAAAUAAAAUUAAAAAAAUAUAUAAUAUGUUGUAUAAUAACACAAAUCCACCAUUAUGGUAUCAUGCAGAGUAGUUUCUAGGAAUCCUGUGCGAUCUCCCUGUUCAUCUUUCUCUUUCCUAAAUCCUUGGCAACCAGAAAUCUUUUUAUUGUCUCCAUAGUUUUACAGUUUUCAAAAUAAUUGAACUCAUACAAUGUAUAGUAUUUUCACAUUGGCUUUCACUGUGUAAAAUGUGUUUAAUUUCUUCCUUGUUUUUUUCAUGGCUUGAUAGCUGAUUUUUAGGGUCAAAUAAUAAUCUAUUGCCUGAAUAUGCAAAAGGUUACAUAUUACCAUACCCCUAAUGGUGUUUUGGUUAUUUUCAAAUUUUGGCUAUUAUGAAUAAAGCUGUUGCAAAUAUCUA